This 212-nucleotide ribosomal RNA is filed under the name uncultured bacterium. Its description in RNAcentral is "partial 16S ribosomal RNA". It matches the Rfam family "Bacterial small subunit ribosomal RNA", at positions 122 to 334 of the family's 1533-position model. The record is from RNAcentral.
UAACCUACCCAUAUCAGGGGGAUAGCCUCUCGAAAGAGAGAUUAAGCCCGCAUAACAUCACAACAUGGCAUCAUGAAGUGAUCAAAUAUUUAUAGGAUAUGGAUGGGCAUGCGGAACAUUAGCUAGUUGGUAAGGUAACGGCUUACCAAGGCUACGAUGUUUAGGGGAUCUGAGAGGAUGACCCCCCACACUGGUACUGAGACACGGACCAG